This is an unclassified non-coding RNA of Nannospalax galili (Upper Galilee mountains blind mole rat), 300 nucleotides long. It matches the Rfam family "Metazoan signal recognition particle RNA". Rfam says of the family: The signal recognition particle (SRP) is a universally conserved ribonucleoprotein. It is involved in the co-translational targeting of proteins to membranes. Lineage: Eukaryota; Metazoa; Chordata; Mammalia; Rodentia; Spalacidae. The record is from Ensembl.
GCCGGGCGCGGUGGCGCACGCCUGUAGUCCCAGCUACUCGGGAGGCUGAGGCAGGAGGAUCGCUUGAGUCCAGGAGUUCUGGGCUGUAGUGAGCUAUGCCGAUCGGGUGUCCGCACUAAGUUCGGCAUCAAUAUGGUGACCUCCCGGGAGCGGGGGACCACCAGGUUGCCUAAGGAGGGGUGAACCGGCCCAGGUCGGAAACGGAGCAGGUCAAAACUCCCGUGCUGAUCAGUAGUGGGAUCGCGCCUGUGAAUAGCCACUGCACUCCAGCCUGGGCAACAUAGCGAGACCCCGUCUCUU